AACCGACCCGCUUCAAGGUCCCGCCGCCCAGCACCCUGCGCGGGACACGGCGACCCUGCCCCUCAUGCUGGGGCCCUGGGUGGGCUUCAGGAGCCUGUGCUGCACCCCAUCCCCUGCGUGAGGGUGACAGCGGUGCCGGCAUCCCCCGCACGAGGACGGCAGGGUGGCACCGUGGGGCGGCCGAGGGGAGACAAGUGAUGUCCCCCCAGCGGGGCGGGGGGCGGCGUCUGAAGUUGCAGCGAAGAGGUCAAAGACGUGGGCUCGUCGAACACAGAGAAGCUGAUGAGAUGGGCAGGACCGAGCCAACAUCCGGAUGGCGGGACCAGGGUGACGCAGACAUUGGCACACUGCUGGGGUCAGAGAUCUUGCAGCCCAGCAGUUUCACUGGUAUGAUGGAGGAAAUCAAGCUCAACCAUCACUGAAACACCUCUGCUGUCAGGAGGAAAAGAACAGGCUUUCAGAGUCCCCUUUCCCCAGCCAUCCUGCCCUGGGAAGGGUUGGCCCUAUGAAUAGCUCAGCCUCAUCACUGGGUGACCACUGCAGUGCAGAGGCCUCUAGGCUUCCAGUCUUGGACUGACAGCAGCACAGGCAUCCCUGGAUCCAGGCUGCUGCUCUCAGAGAGACAAAACCCUCUGGUCUGAGUCAACUGCCAGGAAGGUCACUGGCAGUGGGUGAGCACAGAAAUCCUUUGUGCUGCUGCAGCACGGGGCAGAGGGGGUUGCAGUAUACGACGUAACAGCUUGUCCUGACUGCCUGUGAGUCUGCUGUCCUGUGUCCUGGGUGCAUCAGGGGUGAGGGGAACAGGACCAGGAUGUUGCCCCAGUGAUGCUACUGUGCAGAGCAGCAUCCUUUCCCUCCUGCUGACUGUGGAUCCUGGAGCAGCCAGGGGCCAUGCGCGGGUUGUUCAUCCCCUCACCAUAGCCGGGACACCUUUGCAGUUGAGUUCUCUUACUUCUUUUUGCAGCACUAAAUAUGUCCCCUGAAGCAGAGGAUGUCCCACAAUUGUCACACAGAUGUUAACUGCACAUGCCCUCUGGGAUACAGUGUCCCUUGGGCUUUGCCCGGUCUCCAAAGAAAAGCUCUUGAUGGUCAAGGACACCCUGGACAGAUGGCAGCCUCGGGACUUUUGCAAAGGCAAACAUAAUAGCAACCCGUGUUGUCUGUCACCAGCUUGCCUUGGGGUCCCAGCUGGGUUGGCCAUGCUGGCAUGUGUGGUUGCAGACAGCAGGGGCCACGCAAGGAUGAGGAGAGGGGACAGGAGGGCAGAGCAAACCCCUAAUUUGGGGCAGAAAGGUAUCACCCCUUCAAGAGGGCACUAGGCACCACAGAAUGGGCAGCUGGUGGUGUCACCAGGAUGGGCCUCUGGCCACCAGGCAGGGCUGACCCCGCUGUUCACCCCGCAGCAAGGUGGCUGCUGUUGGAGCUGUGCUGUGGAGCACCUGCAUUUCCAUGGAAACCUCUCCCCAUGGUCUGAUGUUGGUCACUAAACAGGGGCAACUAGUGGCUGCAAUGGAGGGCCUUGGUUUUGCAGUCCUGGGGCUGCUGGGUGGGUUGGGCCAGAGGGGUCAGUGGUUGGGGCAACUCUGAAUAGGGCUGUGGGUCACAGUUCAGGGUGGUUCAUGGGUGGGCAGUUUCCCUCACCCAGAGAGCAGGGGCAACUCUGCCUGUUGGCAUGGAAAAGCCCAGGGGAAGGCAUCCCCCUGCCCUGGGCAAGAGCCCCAUCAGCCCAUUGGAGUCCCCUUGGCUCUAUUGCAACGUGUCCCAGGCAUUCCACAGCAUCCCUGCCCCUGACAGCACAGCAUGGCAUGCUGCCUGCCUAUGGCACUUUUCCCACACUCUUCAUCUGCCCCAUGGCAAGGGACCUGCCUCAAUCCCAGACUAAUGCCCCCAGGCCAUGCCCACCCUGCUGCACCUCCAGCACACAGGGCACAGGGUGGCAGGGGGUGCAGGACCUCCACAAUGGGCAGCACCAGUGGUCAUAGGGGGGUCCAGCACAGGGUCUGGAGCACGGUGCUGAACAGGGUGAUGUGCCAGUGGCACAGCAGCGCCAAGGGUACCCCGGGAGAGCAGAGCAGAGCUCCUCACCCAGCUCCCCGCACAGCCCGUCCCCCUGCCUGCCCCCGGCUCCCCUGGCUCGGGGCCUCGGCCCUGGCUCCACUGUCUGCACGCUGCCUGGAGGCGAUUCGGCCCCCCCUCCCCGUGCCUGGUUUCCAUGGCAACUCCAGUUGAAAUUACAUUAAAAAGAAAUGAAACCA
Molecule: long non-coding RNA, 2255 nt
Organism: Corapipo altera (White-ruffed manakin)
Lineage: Eukaryota; Metazoa; Chordata; Aves; Passeriformes; Pipridae
Exons: 2
Source: RefSeq, a predicted model, not a curated record